CAUUUGCAAAGGCUCGGGCCAGCCCGGGGCGCGUUGCCGGGGCGGGCCCACGCCCCCAGACCGCAGCUGGCCGGGCCCCUGGGCGAUGUCCCCCGGUGCGGACAGAAGCUGCAGCUGUCUCUGCUUCUGACAAAAGAGGAGUGUUUUGGCAACCAGAACGUCUUCAAGGGCGGGGUUGCCCGGACGGUAACUCGAACUACAGUGUAAUGGGAAAUGCUGCACAAAAAAUGCAAUUCGGAUGGUCUACACCCGCAGAUUUCUCAGCGUUUUCUUUCUGCUGACCGCUGAAGUAUUGCCUAUAGUUUAAAAUUGAACAAGAAGUACAAGAUUUGUACUAGAUUCAUGGAACACCAUUACUACCGACUCUAAUAAUGGUUUCCCUUAAUCCACAGCCAUGUAAUCUGGAAAUAAUAAACAUUUUAAGCAAAUG
Molecule: long non-coding RNA, 430 nt
Organism: Mustela lutreola (European mink)
Lineage: Eukaryota; Metazoa; Chordata; Mammalia; Carnivora; Mustelidae
Exons: 2
Source: RefSeq, a predicted model, not a curated record